UCCUUGCAGGGGCAGCCCCCCUCUCCUGGGGCGGGCAUCAGUGUGCACAGAGUGAAGACAGAUGCCCUGUUCCUGCUAGGUGACCUUGAGCAGAUGGGUUCCUGGCCUCCCACUCCCCUGCCCCUGCAAAGGACUCCAUUGCCUCUGCCUGUCCUGAGCACCUGGCCUCGGCUGCUGGCAGCGCCCUGGACAGAGCCCUGACAGUCCUCAUCUUCCUGCCGUGGGGCAGGGCCCAGAGCACCUGCGAAGGGCUACACUCACCCUACCCACAUGGCUGAACCCAAGAGAGUGCAACAAUAAACAGCCAGUGAAGAACCACCACGCCACGUCAAGAUGGAGGUCUCGGGCCUCAGGAGAAAUCCCCUUUCCUUCUCUCCAAACAAGCAUUUUCACCAUGCACAGUGCCGUGCAGUUUACUGGGGCCUUCACAAAGUUCAUGGAUGACUUUUUGGAGUACAUGAGUGUGUCGUUCCUGAGCAGAAGACUAUCAUGGUGUUUAUGGGAAGAAGGAAGGUUUUCUGGCAACAGCCCUGCGACGAGUCUUAUUGGAAAUGGACCCUGCAGCCCCAGUCCAGCCCUCAGCACCGCAGCUGCAGCCAAUACACUGCUACCUCAUGAGAGACCCUGAGCAGGAACCACCUAAGCAAGCCACUCUCACGCUCCUGAAUCAUGAACAAUGCCUACUGUUUUAAUCCCUCAUUUUAGAGUAAUUUAUUGUGUAGCAAUAGAUAUUAAAUAGAGUAGUUCCUGGGGCCCACGUUGUGGAUUCCUGAUCCAGUUGGGAAGGCAGCAGAAGAUGGCCCAAGUGCGUGGGAUCAGAAGUUGAGCAGUCAGCACACAAACCUGUCCUCAUGUGACGCCACCGUUGCGUUGCCAGCAUCAUAGGCAGUGGUGCUGCACCACAACCCCAGCCCAUGGGGCUACUAGUAAGUAAAACAAGGAACACAAGCACUGUGUGCUCUAUUGGUCAUCCUGAUAACCAAGACAGCUACUAAGCGACUACCUUGUGGGUAAUGAAUACACUGUGGAUACAUUGAACAUAGGGGAAACUCAGAAUGGAGCAGGACAACAUGGGCAUGGAAUCUGCUUAGGAUGACAUGCAAUUAAAGCUUAGGAAUUAAAUAUUCUGGAACUUUCCAUUUAACAUUUUUUUUUUUUUUGGAUCACAGUUCAUCUCAAGCAACUGAAACUGUAGAAAGUGAACCCAAAGAUAAGCUAGAUGAGCUGUGUAGCAGCAGAAGUGGGAAGGGAGGGAAAGGAGUGUUAAUCAGGCUUGCCUGGCACCUAACCCUAUGCCAAGUUCUUUUGCAGAAAUCAUUUAUAUAAUUUAAGUCCUUACAACCUCGCCAUGAGAGCCUGGGCAAAUCUCCUUUCAUACCCAGAGGAGAGGGCCAGAGCCUAAGUGGUUUCCCAGGCCCUGUACUUGGACAGGGGCUGUUGAGUUUCAGACUCAAUCUGUCCACCUCCAGCAUCUGGGCCUGGAUAAAAGACCCUUUCUGGGACCAUGGCAGGCAGAUACGUUUUCCCAAACCUCUGUGUUCAUUGGUCCCUCCCUCCCUCGGUGUCUCCCUCCUUUCUAUUCCUUACAGUUGAAGUUGAGGGAAAAGGCACCAAUGCUCUCUGCAACAUGUUGGCCUAAAAGGCAUGUUGAAGUAUGGCAGCGUGAGUGAGGCAGGUCUUUUCUUUAAUAGCCCCCUCCCCCACCCCAGCACCUGGCAUAGGUGGCAGCCACAGGGCUCUGGUGAUUGAUAGGAGUGUUUUUCCAAUUCAGCUGUCAAAGCCAGGGCAAUCAUCCUGCCUCCUGCUUGGAAAGUGAUUUACAAUUUUCCUCUUUGGUGGCAUCCCAAGGCAAACAGACACUUUUGUUUCCAUGGAGAACACACUCUUCCCUCUAAGGUCGCUUGGGUGCCCUUCCUCCCUGCCAUCUCUCCUUCUUCCUCCCUGCUUUCCUUGUUUGACAGCUCUCUCUCUCUCUCUCUCUCUCUCUCUCUGUCUCUCUCUCCUUUAUUUCCCCCCAGUUUCUCUUGAGUUCUCCUCCUUCCACUACCAGCGGGAGCACAGUGGUUGCCUCUGCCCUUGCCCAUCUGUGUCCCAAGGCCAAGCUUCCACUUCUCCUGCUCUGCUGGAGGGCUUCUCAGACUCCUCUGAGCACUGAGAAAUAUCCUCCUCGGCCUUUGGGCUGUUUUGUUCCUUGGAACUUGUUUCUCAAAGAGCUCAGAGCAGGGGGUGAGAGCCUGCUCGGUUGCUUCAACCUGGGUCCUAAGGCCACGCAUCUGUGCAACCUCAGGCAUCCUGUUUCACCUCUCACUUUCUUCACCUGCAAAAUGACAACAACCUUCCCAGGAGUGGCCCGAGAUAGUUCAGGGGAGUGUACAAAUAGAUGGCUUCCUGUGAGUCUACAGCAUGUCUCUGCCUUCUAGCCCUGAAGUUUACGGAGCAGCUCCUAAAAGCCCCCAAAAGGCAUAAGGGGAUCCCCUGUUGUUGAGGCCAGUGCUAGCAGGCCCUGUGUAGGCUGGGCCGGGUGGAGAGGGUGGGGCCCCUCUGGGGCCACUUUGUACCAAAGUUGUAGGGCUUCAGAAGUGCCAGUGACCUAGUGCCAGCAGCGUCUGGGUGCUUGGAACAGAUAGGAAGUUGCAGCUCCUUUAAGAAACCGCAUUUGCUCCCUGUGAGUGCGUGUGUGCUAUUGCCCAUGGGUGGGUGAGCCGGCAGUGUUGUGUCAGGUCACAGGCUCCCGCUGCAGAACAGGGAUCUCUGACACCGGGUCAGAACAUUAAGGUGUUCAGCUCUGUGCGGAUGAGGCUGGGCAGCUCAGUACCCCUAAACACAGCCCCCUGUCCUCACAUGGCCAGCCUGGGGUGAGGCCUCUGCCCUGGAGUAGAUCUGUAUCCUUGUGGCCUUUGUCUGCUCUAAGUCAGGAUUGGGGGUCAGGCACCCAAGUUCAGGCUUUCCUGUAUUUCGAGAGUUUUGGUCCUACUUCCAGGUGUGUUCUGCACAGGUAAACACACGGACAUGCACCACACAGGAAGGGGGGGAUGCUGGAGGAGGCCUUGGAAGAACAGCUAGGGAGUGGGACGGAGUCCUUUUCUCUCUCCUGGCAGAAGUCCUCUAGUUCCUCAUGCAGUGGGACUGGGCUGUGGGUUGCUCUCAGAGCACUGUACAAGAAAGACACAGUGGAAUGACAAGCAGUGCAGCUCAAGCAAGGAAGAGAAGCUGAGCCUCCUCCUUCCUCCUUUAUUUGCCCGUUUAGUUCCUCGUAGGGAGAAGGCAGGAACAUGGAGAAGGCGAUGAACAGUGGCAGAUCACUGCCUGUACUUCAACUGGCUUCAAAUCUUAUCUCCCAUAGUCCUCACCAACAGCUCUUUAGUAGGCUGGUUACCGAGACUCAGGUUAACAAAUUUGCCCAAGCAGGGAGCAAGAUUUUGAACUGCAACUGUAUAGUUCAAUUCCUAACUCUGUGCUCUUUCCAGCAAACCCCAUUGCCUACAUGAGUCUUCUACAGAGAAUAUAGCAUUGUGGCCAAUGGGCUUCUUGUCAAGGAUCAUAAACUUGGAAUUCAAUCUAAAGUCACUAUUAUUCCAGGAAAAAAAAAAAGAAAAAGAAAAACCCUGAUGCCUGGCUCUUUUGAAAAAAAAAAAAAAUUGCAUGCCUUCCUAAGAUGGGCUAUUAAUAUACAUUGUCAUUGACAUCAGUCUUGCAGGCUGGUUCUUUGGGAGAGCCAGGAUGUUGCUGAUUUGCAUACUGCUUUGCAUUCAUUUGCAUUCUCUCUCCAUAUGCAAAAUCAAACACAGUUAAUUAGUGCAACCUUGUUACAAUGAGAAGCAGGCCCAGCCUUCUGUGCCAGGGCAGAUGGAGCCCAGAACAGGGACUGAAACAACCCAAAGCCAGUCACGUCCUGGGUUGGACACGCCGGGAGGCUGGAGAGAGACACACACAGCCUGAAUGGAAAGCAGCAUAACGAAGUCUCGCUAUUUUUCGAAGAUUGUCCCUUUGAA
This is a long non-coding RNA of Lepus europaeus (European hare), 3992 nucleotides long. RefSeq lists it as uncharacterized. The transcript is spliced from 3 exons. Lineage: Eukaryota; Metazoa; Chordata; Mammalia; Lagomorpha; Leporidae. The record is from RefSeq and is a predicted model, not a curated record.